This 163-nucleotide ribosomal RNA is filed under the name uncultured bacterium. RNAcentral's name for it is "partial 16S rRNA". It matches the Rfam family "Bacterial small subunit ribosomal RNA", at positions 355 to 511 of the family's 1533-position model. The record is from RNAcentral.
UAGGGAAUCUUCCACAAUGGCGAGAGCCUGAUGGAGCAACGCCGCGUGUGUGAUGAAGGGUUUCGGCUCGUAAAACACUGUUGUAAGAGAAGAAUGACAUUGAGAGUAACUGUUCAAUGUGUGACGGUAUCUUACCAGAAAGGAACGGCUAAAUACGUGCCAC